UCUAUCUUGUUCGCAUGAUCGCGUCUACAUGCCCGGCGCCGCUCGCGCAGUCGCACGCCAACGCCCCCCGCCGGCCCGCUCCUCCCUCUUGCACUGCCUCCAGUCCUCCACCUUUGCAUUUGUUCCUAGACUCCCAGGCCUCUAAUUCUUCUUUGGAGCAACAAGGACAGUAGCAGACAGUUCUCGCUUCAUCAACCCUCUCUGGUCUGGUCUCUGACGAUCUGCAGUUUGAGCAGCAGCAAGACCAAGGCUUCGAAGAACCGGAUCAGCAGCAGCAGUUUGAGGAAGGCAAGUGGCCCUUGAUCAUACUUGUUGACCCCAAAAAAAUCAUUAAAUUCAUUUUACUUUAUAUACGCAUGCAUGAGUCUAUAAUAUGAUGGGUCCCGAUUAAGGAUAUGCCUAGCUUUGUUUACCCUUCCUCGACCAAACUUGGGUUAUUUAAUUUAUGUUGGGUAGCAAUUGCUAGUUGCUUUUACAUCGGGUUAUGGUUGGUUUAAAUCAAGACAAUCGAUACACUUGUUAUACUUCAUGUUCUUGAUGGUUUAAUACUGUUAAACAAUAUCAUAUAUUUUAAUCGGAACAUGGAGAAUCACCCAGGAAAACCAUACAACCACAAUACCAUAUGGCUCUGGUCUUGGCUAAGUAAUUGGAUGAACUAUAUGUUGUGAUUGGGGGCGUUGGCUUGGUGGUUAUGAGUUUGUGUUUGGUGGAGCGGGCGAAAGAAGCUUCGUCUUCUGAGGUACCGCUGAAAAUCAGGGACCAGCACAUACAUAUAGUGAUUCCUUGGAAAGGCCUCGUAGCGUCCCUAUGCAAUCACACCUCGGAAGUGUGAUAUUGUGCCUGGCCCGCACAACGUGGUUGGGUUUAAAGUUUUUUGAACUUUUACGCGAAUUGUGGUGAAAGUGUACAACUUCUGCAGAGUGUAAAACUGAUAUAUCAGCCGUGCUCACGAUCAUGAGCGGCUUGGACCCUCACAUGGUAAUUGAACUUGAAGAUGAUCUAAAUCGAUGUUAUUUAUUUAUGUUGCUCUGUUAUUUCUUUCAUAUGCUUAUCUUGUGUGUUAAUGAUAUAAAUUUAUACUUAGUUAAUGCUUGCUAAUAAAACUUGACCAACUAAAAGUGCUUAAUGCAGUUAAACCGUGUCAGCUAUUCCUUGUUUUGGCCUUGCAUGUAAUAUAGUUUUUCCAUACCACUUGUUGAGUACCAACUAUAAGUGUACUUAUCCUUGCAUAAUUGCUGCUCAGACCAAGAUAACUGUCCGGGUUACCAAGAAGAUUUCGAGGAUUUCUAGGCGUAUGUCUCUCAGUCAUCUGCCUGUGAAGUUGAAGAUCCGUUGCUACUCUAUAAAUGUUUAGUUAUUUGCUUAAGUUUAAGACAUUCGGUCAUGUAAUAAAGUUCUUAAUACUCUCUUUCGUUAUGGCAUUGUGAUGGUAUACACUUUAUUUAAGUC
Panicum virgatum (switchgrass) is the source of this 1449-nucleotide long non-coding RNA. RefSeq lists it as uncharacterized. Lineage: Eukaryota; Viridiplantae; Streptophyta; Magnoliopsida; Poales; Poaceae. The transcript is spliced from 2 exons. The record is from RefSeq and is a predicted model, not a curated record.